RNAcentral lists this small RNA (913 nucleotides) under uncultured Cryptococcus. RNAcentral describes it as "eukaryotic LSU rRNA". The stretch from base 627 to 913 matches the Rfam family "Eukaryotic large subunit ribosomal RNA", at positions 1 to 281 of the family's 3401-position model. Lineage: Eukaryota; Fungi; Basidiomycota; Tremellomycetes. The record is from RNAcentral.
CUUGGUCAUUUAGAGGAAGUAAAAGUCGUAACAAGGUUUCCGUAGGUGAACCUGCGGAAGGAUCAUUAGUGAAUUGAAUAUGUUAGCGGACCUCUUCGGAGUCCCUAGCAUCAAAUCAUAUCCAUAACACCUGUGAACUGUAAGGCUGUCUUGAAAACGAAAGUGAUUAGAGCGCCUGCCCAUUUUAUACAAACAUUAAAGUAACAAACGUAGUCUUAUUAUAAUCUAAUAAAACUUUCAACAACGGAUCUCUUGGCUCUCGCAUCGAUGAAGAACGCAGCGAAAUGCGAUAAGUAAUGUGAAUUGCAGAAUUCAGUGAAUCAUCGAAUCUUUGAACGCACCUUGCGCUCUUUGGUAUUCCGAAGAGCAUGCCUGCUUGAGUGUCAUGAAAAUAUCAACCUUGACUUGGGUUUAGUGCUCUUGUCUUGGCUUGGAUUUGGCUGUUUGCCGCUCGAAAGAGUCGGCUCAGCUUAAAAGUAUUAGCUGGAUCUGUCUUUGAGACUUGGUUUGACUUGGCGUAAUAAGUUAUUUCGCUGAGGGCAAUCUUCGGAUUGGCCGAGUUUCUGGGACGUUUGUCCGCUUUCUAAUACAAGUUCUAGCUUGCUAGACAUGACUUUUUUAUUAUCUGGCCUCAAAUCAGGUAGGACUACCCGCUGAACUUAAGCAUAUCAAUAAGCGGAGGAAAAGAAACUAACAAGGAUUCCCCUAGUAACGGCGAGUGAAGCGGGAAGAGCUCAAAUUUGAAAUCUGGUGGCCUCAGGCUAUCCGAGUUGUAAUCUAUAGAAACAUUUUCCGCGUUGGCCCAUGUACAAGUCUCUUGGAAUAGAGCGUCAUAGAGGGUGAGAAUCCCGUCCUUGACAUGGACUACCAGUGCUUUGUGAUAUGUUUUCAACGAGUCGAGUUGUUUGGGAAU